UGAGGGCCCCUCUGCGUGUUCACAGCGGACCUUGAUUUAAUGUCUAUACAAUUAAGGCACGCGGUGAAUGCCAAGAGAGGCGCCUCC
Zalophus californianus (California sea lion) is the source of this 87-nucleotide microRNA precursor. NCBI's taxonomy places the organism in Eukaryota, Metazoa, Chordata, Mammalia, Carnivora, Otariidae. The record is from Ensembl.